AGGAAUCUUGCGCAAUGGGGGAAACCCUGACGCAGCAACGCCGCGUGAGUGAGGAAGGUUUUCGGAUCGUAAAGCUCUGUCAGGUGGGAAGAAAUGUAUAAGGGUUAACAGCCUUUAUCCUUGACGGUACCACCAGAGGAAGCACCGGCCAACUCCGUGCCAGCAGCCGCGGUAAUACGGGGGGUGCAAGCGUUGUUCGGAAUCAUUGGGCGUAAAGAGCGUGUAGGCGGCUGGAUAAGUCAGAUGUGAAAGCCCUGGGCUCAACCUGGGAAGUGCAUUUGAAACUGUCCUGCUAGAGUAAGGGAGAGGGAAGUGGAAUUCCUGGUGUAGAGGUGAAAUUCGUAGAUAUCAGGAGGAACACCGGUGGCGAAGGCGACUUCCUGGCCCUAUACUGACGCUGAGACGCGAGAGCGUGGGGAGCAAACAGGAUUAGA
RNAcentral lists this ribosomal RNA (434 nucleotides) under uncultured bacterium. RNAcentral describes it as "bacterial SSU rRNA". It matches the Rfam family "Bacterial small subunit ribosomal RNA", at positions 357 to 782 of the family's 1533-position model. The record is from RNAcentral.